Long non-coding RNA from Anastrepha ludens (Mexican fruit fly), 1287 nucleotides. RefSeq lists it as uncharacterized. Lineage: Eukaryota; Metazoa; Arthropoda; Insecta; Diptera; Tephritidae. The record is from RefSeq and is a predicted model, not a curated record. The transcript is spliced from 3 exons.
AGAGAGAAGGAUAAGAAACGGUUUGUUGUUCUCACUGUUUUAAUUUUAUAAUCCAAGAAAUACUAAAUAUAAUCUAAUUAAGGCAGUGGAUUAUAUAUUUGAAGAAAACAGCUCGACUUCCAUAAUUGGUGAUCCGGACGUGAUCCCUGUGGAUUACGAUAGUGCGCGGUACUAAUUCCAUAUUUAUUCGCGUGUCAUUACAAACAUCUAUAUGUAAGAAAGUGACUCUUAGUCGCUCGCCAGUUCGCGACAGUCAAAAUAGACUGGCCACCUCACCGCGGCUCACGCCACAAAUAGGGGGACGAGCUCGGGCAAACAACCAAAAAUAGUGUAAAAGCCAAUUAUAUACAUAUUUACAUAUGUAUGACCAGUGAUCAUGAGAUUUGAUUCAUUCGCAUUGAAGCACAGUCCGCCCCACGUAACAUAAGCAAUAGCGACACCAUGAAGCCUAAAAUACUUAGGGAACCCUCCUAUAUUCUCAGAGCACCACCACCACACCACACCUAUGGGCAAACCUUAUCAAGCGCUUCAGGGAUUUAGUUGAUCGCCAGUUAAAUAAACUCUCCACGCAUCGGAAGAGCUUUUCGCAGCAAAUAGCAGAUUCUGAUACUGAGCAUCGUAUGCAAAUUUCUCAAAGCCUUUCAAAACCACAGCACACUCGAUGAACAAGCUGAAGCUGCUGACAACGCCAUGGAAAAUCACUCCAUCUCUCGUAACAUGUCUGCCAGUAUGCAGGGUCAGCCCGCAGCCCAGAGUCCCUAGACGCAUUUGAACCUGGACGGCAGAAACUCCCCCGAACAAAGACUUAGUGGUCUCGAGAGAGAAACUUCCAACACUGCUGUACAGGGAAUACAACAAAGGUGCCACCAAUUAGUACAGGCAUUUGGCGACAGUAAUCACCAUGUACGGCCCGAAAUAACCUCGUGUUUUAUAAAUGCUCAUCACACUCUGCUGACAAAAUAUGGCGCCAGAUUUUUUAGUAUCAUCGCAGGCUAUAAACGGCAUUCAUCGAUAUACCUACCUAUCCAGAGACGACCCCACAUACUCAACAUAUGUCCACCAUAUGAAGGUACCCGGAAAGAUACUAACCACCUUUUAACAUGCCACUUUAAGCGCCUCACCCGGCAGCACUCUCCCUUCGGACCCACACCUACCUUUAAAUGAGAUUGACGACAACGACCGCUGACUUCACCGUGCCCGGCAAGGCCUGAUAAAACGAUACAACAACAUCCUAAGAUGUAAUUUUAAUAAAAAAUUAAAGUAUAUUGUAAUAAAAUAAAUACUACA